Non-coding RNA from Picea glauca (white spruce), 46 nucleotides. The record is from Rfam. NCBI's taxonomy places the organism in Eukaryota, Viridiplantae, Streptophyta, Pinopsida, Pinales, Pinaceae.
UCAAUGGUGUCUUUUGACACCACCUUUUCUAUCAAACUUUAAAUAU